RNAcentral lists this long non-coding RNA (1126 nucleotides) under Cottoperca gobio. RNAcentral describes it as "lncRNA (ENSCGOG00000019941.1)". The record is from RNAcentral. Lineage: Eukaryota; Metazoa; Chordata; Actinopteri; Perciformes; Bovichtidae.
CGAGCAAGCAUACAGGUAAAAAGAUCAAUUAUUUAUCAUUUAACAUUAUUUAAUUACUUCCCUACGACCAAUUCAGAGGAUUUUUAUUAAAUUAUUUAUUUCUUAUUUAAGGAUUUACAGUAUUUUCUACAUAAUGAGCUCAUUUUACUGCUGAUACUUACCUCACUGGAGUACAUGUAUUAUCUUGUAUGUUACAGAAUGUAUCACUAUAUGACAUACCGCCGGUGAGAUUCUGCCGGGGAAUACUUGCACAACAGCAUCCAUCUUGUUUGGUUCUUCCACCGACUGCUGAGUGGAGCUGGGACUUUGAAAGGUUCCUCAUCAACAUUGUCUUGACACGAAGAGUAGAGUCUCGGUCAAGAGUCCAGUAACAUACUCUGCAAAAAAUAUGUUUUAUAAUCAAGCAUUAUAUAUAAUAUAUAAUAUGUGUAUGUAUAUGUGUAUCUGUAUCUUAUAUAUCAAUAUUGCGCCUGCAUGGACUUGUGUGGUGUGACUGUGGAGAGGGGAUCCGUCUGCACAGCAAUUUCAUUCUGACAUGUCUGAAAUGUACAGAAUUGUAUUGCAUGUUUAUACAUGUCUGCGUAAAGAAAAUAUCUAAUAACAUUCAUAAUAAAAGAUGUGGUUGAAUUGAUUGAGAGAGCAAUGAUAUCAAAUUAAACAAAUAUAUGAAUUAUGUACAUGCAUGUGGUGAUUGUAUGUUUAACACAUCAUGUGCAGGUCUACUGGUACUACAACUGUAAUGUACAGACGACGUACAGUCUGUAUACUUACUGGUGUACACACAGCUUCCUCCCCAGUGUGGAUGUCCAAUAGAUGGUCGCUGAUCAUACAGGUAUCCUCAGUUCUGUCAGUGGCUUCAUUCACCAAUGUUUCAAUACCUCUGUAAUAAUAGGGUGAUAGUUAAAAGUUAAAUCGACUCACGCUUUUACUCAAACUACAGAAUAAAAUGGGGAAGCCUGUUAUAAACAUUGAAUCUAUACUUAAUUAAGCUAAAUGUGGUUUAACUUAUCAUCUAAGGAUACUUAGUCAUAUUAAAAUAAAAUAAACAUCAAUGCUGUGACAUGCUGUGAUUUUCUUCUAAAUAAAAAAUGUUAUUCAAGAAAAGAUGAUGAAGCUAAAUUAGGUC